Molecule: ribosomal RNA, 490 nt
Filed under: uncultured bacterium
Lineage: Bacteria
Description: partial 16S ribosomal RNA
Rfam family: Bacterial small subunit ribosomal RNA
Source: RNAcentral
GAUGAACGCUAGCUACAGGCUUAACACAUGCAAGUCGCGGGGCAGCAUGGGGGUUGCUUGCAAUCCCCGAUGGCGACCGGCGCACGGGUGAGUAACGCGUAUCCAACCUGCCCUUCACCACGGGAUAACCCGGCGAAAGUCGGACUAAUACCGUAUGUUGUCCAUUGACGGCAUCCGAUUUGGACGAAAGGUUUGGCGGUGAAGGAUGGGGAUGCGUCCGAUUAGCUGGACGGCGGGGUGACGGCCCACCGUGGCGACGAUCGGUAGGGGUUCUGAGAGGAAGGUCCCCCACACUGGAACUGAGACACGGUCCAGACUCCUACGGGAGGCAGCAGUGAGGAAUAUUGGUCAAUGGGCGUAAGCCUGAACCAGCCAAGUAGCGUGCAGGAUGACGGCCCUAUGGGUUGUAAACUGCUUUUAUGCGGGGAUAAAGUGGCCCACGUGUGGGUUUCUGCAGGUACCGCAUGAAUAAGGACCGGCUAAUUCCGUG